UUCCCAAAAACCAGCCACCCAUAAAAUGUUGGAUUAACAAAAAUGAGUAGAAAAAAUACUGCACAAAAAAGUUUAGUAGAGAAAACACUACAAAUGCAGCAUGCAGAUAAAACACUAGUUUGAUUUGGCAAAAUAUAGUCUGCCAUCUUUCUGCAAACUAUUUUCUUACUGUGAAAGUCAGUAACAUGAAGAACAAGGAUGCUAGCGGAUUUCUGAAACCAAACUUUGUGUGAGUUGCUGCAGAUUGAAACAGAGUUUUAUCUAGAGCGUUACAUUGUUAUUUUACAGACGAUGUUAGAAAGAUUUGCGAAUGAUGCAACUGUUUAUAUGGUGAUAUUCACAUGUAAGUAUUCGAAUAUCUAGAACAUAUUCAAGGUGGUUCUCGGUAGCAAACCAUCAAGAUGGAAAGGGCAUGGUGAAAAAUGCACACAAAGUGGUUCACCUAAAAUGCAAAUUUUGAUGACCCAGAUUGACCAACUUCACCACACUACAUAAAGUUGUUGACUUCCUCGCCAAGUAGACUUACAUAGUUAUAUGGGCCAUUCACCUUUGAAAUCAGUAUGUGUUGAGUUUGGUCAAAAGUUUUGACUAAUAUUGGGAUAGAUGGAAAUAAUGCGAAGUAAUCCGUACUAUUCUUAACUAUAAUUUGUACUACUACCAACUGUUAUGAGACAUAACGCAUCAUCACUUCACUUUUGAUAUAUGCAUCUUGUUAUGGCUGUGCUAGUUUCAA
Molecule: long non-coding RNA, 733 nt
Organism: Erigeron canadensis
Lineage: Eukaryota; Viridiplantae; Streptophyta; Magnoliopsida; Asterales; Asteraceae
Exons: 2
Source: RefSeq, a predicted model, not a curated record